AUUGAACGCUGGCGGAAUGCUUUACACAUGCAAGUCGAACGGCAGCACGGACUUCGGUCUGGUGGCGAGUGGCGAACGGGUGAGUAAUGUAUCGGAACGUGCCCAGUCGUGGGGGAUAACGUAGUGAAAAUUACGCUAAUACCGCAUACGAUCUAUGGAUGAAAGCGGGGGAUCGCAAGACCUCGCGCGAUUGGAGCGGCCGAUAUCAGAUUAGGUAGUUGGUGGGGUAAAGGCCCACCAAGCCAACGAUCUGUAGCGGGUCUGAGAGGACGACCGGCCACACUGGGACUGAGACACGGUCCAGACUCCUACGGGAGGCAGCAGUGGGGAAUUUUGGACAAUGGGCGAAAGCCUGAUCCAGCCAUUCCGCGUGCAGGAUGAAGGCCCUCGGGUUGUAAACUGCUUUUGUACAGAACGAAAAAGUUACUACUAAUACUAGGAGCUCAUGACGGUACUGUAAGAAUAAGCACCGGCUAACUACGUGCCAGCCGCCGCAGUAA
Molecule: ribosomal RNA, 500 nt
Filed under: uncultured bacterium
Lineage: Bacteria
Description: partial 16S ribosomal RNA
Rfam family: Bacterial small subunit ribosomal RNA
Source: RNAcentral